RNAcentral lists this small nuclear RNA (69 nucleotides) under Zalophus californianus (California sea lion). RNAcentral's name for it is "U2 spliceosomal RNA (ENSZCAG00015005855.1)". It matches the Rfam family "U2 spliceosomal RNA", at positions 1 to 66 of the family's 192-position model. Rfam says of the family: U2 is a small nuclear RNA (snRNA) component of the spliceosome (involved in pre-mRNA splicing). Complementary binding between U2 snRNA (in an area lying towards the 5' end but 3' to hairpin I) and the branchpoint sequence (BPS) of the intron results the bulging out of an unpaired adenosine, on the BPS, which initiates a nucleophilic attack at the intronic 5' splice site, thus starting the first of two transesterification reactions that mediate splicing. Lineage: Eukaryota; Metazoa; Chordata; Mammalia; Carnivora; Otariidae. RNAcentral also lists the same sequence under 1 other name. The record is from RNAcentral.
AUCGCUUCUUGGCCUUUUGGCUAAGAUCAAGUGUAGUAUCUACUGAACAGUAACAGUUUUCCACUGAUC